Oncorhynchus keta (chum salmon) is the source of this 2839-nucleotide RNA transcript. It is a transcript of the gene named medium-chain acyl-CoA ligase ACSF2, mitochondrial-like, with no coding region annotated. Lineage: Eukaryota; Metazoa; Chordata; Actinopteri; Salmoniformes; Salmonidae. The transcript is spliced from 15 exons. The record is from RefSeq and is a predicted model, not a curated record.
CGUAACAGGUUGUACCAGGAAAGUCACUGCGGGCAAGUGAGCGGACACUUCCAAAACGCGGUCAAGCCUAAACAUCGUUCAGCCAUCCGUUCUUCAGUUUCCUCCUGAAUUUAUGUGCGCGAAUACACAACAUUUUACGGUAUCGCGUGUUUUCUGAGCUGACUGAGGCCAUGUCAGCGGUGUGGAUCAGCUCCUCUCUACUGAGGUCCAGGGCAACUCACCUCAGACAGCUCAGUAUGUUCUCUAGAAGGGCUGUGUUACAACCUGUACAGGUGGUCUCCUCACUACAGAAGACAUGGACACCUGGGAACCCAACCUGGUGCUGUAGAUCCCUCCAUGUGGACAGUCCCCCCCUGGUCCCAGGGCAGAGCUUCAGCUACGUCCAUGGGGCCUCCUCAGUGUCCCUGCUGGGCCAGACGGUGGGUCAGAGUUUGCAGGCGGCAGCUGACCGCUGGCCCCACAGAGAGGCCCUGGUGUUCCUGCAGGAUGGAGUCCGUAAGACCUUCUCCCAGUUUCAGGAGGACGUUGACCAGGCCGCUGCAGGUCUCCUGGCCCUGGGUCUGAAGAGAGGGGACAGACUAGGAGUCUGGGGGCCCAACACAUACCACUGGAUCCUGUUUCAGUUCGCCACAGCCAAGGCCGGCAUCAUACUGGUGUCGAUAAACCCAGCCUAUCAGCUGAAGGAGCUGGAGUUCACCCUGGGGAAGGUGCAGUGUAAAGCUGUGGUGUGUCCCACCCAGUUUAAGACCCAGAGGUUCUGUGACAUGCUGAGACAGAUCUGCCCAGAGAUGGACACAGCAGAGUCAGGGGUCUUCAGGAGCUCCAGACUACCAGACCUGCGUAUGGUGAUUGUGACAGACAGCAGACAGACAGGGACUGUACAUGUAGAGGAUGUGAUGCAGGCUGGAAGCAGACAGCACCACCAGGAGCUGCAGGACCUGCAGACCAAACUGUCCUUCGACGACCCCAUCAACAUACAGUUCACAUCCGGAACAACAGGAAAUCCUAAAGGUGCCACCCUCUCCCACCACAACAUCGUCAACAACGCCUAUUUUGUGGGUCUACGUCUGGGAUUCAACUGGAAGCCUAUAAGAGCGUGUGUUCCUGUUCCCCUGUACCACUGCAUGGGCUCAGUGUUAGGAGCGAUGUGUUUGGCACUGCAUGGCAUCACCCUGGUCUUCCCCUCUGCUGGGUACGACAGCCGUGCCAACCUGGAGGCCAUUCAGAAUGAAAGGUGUAAUUUCCUCUACGGAACUCCUACCAUGUACAUUGACAUGCUUGGACAGCCUGACCUACACAACUAUGACCUGUCAUCAGUUGAAUCUGGGUUUAUGAGUGGGUCUCUUUGUCCUCCUGAAGUCAUGAGGAAACUCAAAACUGAUAUGAAUGUCAAUGAUAUGAUAAUAGGCUAUGGGACCACAGAGAACAGCCCUGUAACAUUCCUUGGUUUCCCGCGAGACAACGAGGAACUGAAGACCGAGACGGUGGGAUGUAUCCUGAACCACACAGAGGCGAAGGUGGUGGAUGUGUCCUCUGGAGAGGUGGUUCCUCUCGGGGAUCCAGGAGAGCUGCUGAUCAGAGCUUACUCUGUUAUGUUGGAGUACUGGGACGACCCAGACAAGACCAGUGAGGCGAUCGCCAAAGACCGCUGGUACAGAACCGGUGACAUAGCCAGUCUGGACAGGUUUGGGUACUGCCGUAUAGUGGGACGUAUAAAGGACAUGAUCAUACGUGGAGGAGAGAACAUCUACCCUGCUGAGAUAGAGAAGUUCCUUCACACCCAUCCCAACGUACAGGAGGCCCAGGUGAGAACCACACCCAUCCCAACGUACAGGAGGCCCAGGUGAGAACCACACCCAUCCCAACGUACAGGAGGCCCAGGUGAGAACCACACCCAUCCCAACGUACAGGAGGCCCAGGUGAGAACCACACCCAUCCCAACGUACAGGAGGCCCAGGUGAGAACCACACCCAUCCCAACGUACAGGAGGCCCAGGUGAGAACCACACCCAUCCCAACGUACAGGAGGCCCAGGUGAGAACCACACCCAUCCCAACGUACAGGAGGCCCAGGUGAGAACCACACCCAUCCCAACGUACAGGAGGCCCAGGUGAGAACCACACCCAUCCCAACGUACAGGAGGCCCAGGUGAGAACCACACCCAUCCCAACGUACAGGAGGCCCAGGUGAGAACCACACCCAUCCCAACGUACAGGAGGCCCAGGACUCGGCACCACUAGAGGGCAUUAGAGAAUAGAACAGCACCACAGUAACACCAUACAACCAAGUUACACAAAUCUAUCCAGGAAAUGUUAGUACCAGAACCUUUCAUUUCCUGUCUUAAUUUCUCAAUACUCAUAUCACCAUAUGAUGUCCAUACACAAUGUCAACAGUAGGUAUGGUUGGGUCAGUUAUGGUUGGGUCAGUUUUCUGAUUUUAGUGUAUCCAGGUGUUUAUAUUCUCUCCCUGUCCUGUCCACCUCUCUUUCUCCCCAGGUGUUUAUAUUCUCUCCCUGUCCACCUCUCUUUCUCCCCAGGUGUUUAUAUUCUCUCCCUCUCCUGUCCACCUCUCUUUCUCCCCAGGUGUUUAUAUUCUCUCCCUGUCCACCUCUCUUUCUCCCCAGGUGAUUAUAUUCUCUCCCUGUCCACCUCUCUUUCUCCCCAGGUGUUUAUAUUCUCUCCCUGUCCACCUCUCUUUCUCCCCAGGUGAUUAUAUUCUCUCCCUGUCCUGUCCACCUCUCUUUCUCCCCAGGUGAUUAUAUUCUCUCCCUGUCCUGUCCACCUCUCUUUCUCCCCAGGUGAUUAUAUUCUCUCCCUGUCCUGUCCACAUGUCUUUCUCCC